Sinocyclocheilus grahami is the source of this 479-nucleotide long non-coding RNA. RefSeq lists it as uncharacterized. The record is from RefSeq and is a predicted model, not a curated record. The transcript is spliced from 3 exons. NCBI's taxonomy places the organism in Eukaryota, Metazoa, Chordata, Actinopteri, Cypriniformes, Cyprinidae.
UGCUGAAAGCAGUGAAGCCCAGAUGGAUUCGUGCAGUUGAAUUGCUCCCACCAAGUCCCUCUUGCUCAAAGACGGAGAUUAUAUUGACUGUGACUGGAAAAGGAAAGGGUAAAGGAAAGGAGGUUAACAGAAAGUUAAAGGUGUGUUUGGAUCCAAAUAAGAGGCAAGGACAGAGAUUACUGAAGGGCAAAUGGAGGGGAAACAAAAACCAAAAGAACAGAGGAAGAAAAGAGAAGAUUAAGAAGUCUGACAACAAGGAUGAUUAUUGAAGUUACUCUAUCUGUUAUAAUGCACAAGAUUUCAAAGCCAUUUAGCCAUAAAUGUAUUCUUUGUGAUUCUUUGUGAUUUCUAUGAUGAAACUAUAACUAACACUAUCGUUUUGAGCUAAACACACUUUUUAACUUUUACUAAAUAAUUUUUAUACAAACGUUUGUAAUCCAGAGGAAAUCUGUGUGUGAUGUAGCCAUGAAAUAAAAAUA